This 253-nucleotide ribosomal RNA is filed under the name uncultured bacterium. Its description in RNAcentral is "partial 16S ribosomal RNA". It matches the Rfam family "Bacterial small subunit ribosomal RNA", at positions 524 to 776 of the family's 1533-position model. The record is from RNAcentral.
UACGGAGGGUGCAAGCGUUAUCCGGAUUCACUGGGUUUAAAGGGAGCGCAGGCGGAUUUGUAAGUCAGUGGUGAAAGCCCCGAGCUCAACUUGGGAACUGCCAUUGAUACUAUAAGUCUUGAAUGUCGUUGAGGUUUGCGGAAUGGGUCAUGUAGCGGUGAAAUGCAUAGAUAUGACCCGGAACACCGAUUGCGAAGGCAGCAGGCUAAACGAAUAUUGACGCUGAGGCUCGAAAGCGUGGGGAUCAAACAGG